GAUGAACGCUGGCGGCGUGCCUAAUACAUGCAAGUCGAGCGAACGGACGAGAAGCUUGCUUCUCUGAUGUUAGCGGCGGACGGGUGAGUAACACGUGGAUAACCUACCUAUAAGACUGGGAUAACUUCGGGAAACCGGAGCUAAUACCGGAUAAUCUUUUGAACCGCAUGGUUCAAAAGUGAAAGACGGUCUUGCUGUCACUUAUAGCUGGAUCCGCGCUGCAUUAGCUAGUUGGUAAGGUAACGGCUUACCAAGGCAACGAUGCAUAGCCGACCUGAGAGGGUGAUAGGCCACACUGGAACUGAGACACGGUCAAGACGCCUAAGGGAGGCAGCAGUAGGGAAUCUUCGGCAAUGGGCGAAAGCAUGACGGAGCAACGCCGCGUGAGUGAUGAAGGUCUUCGGAUCGUAAAACUCUGUUAUUAGGGAAGAACAUAUGUGUAAGUAACUGUGCACAGCGUGACGGUAACUAAUCAGAAAGCCACGGCUAACUACGUG
This 497-nucleotide ribosomal RNA is filed under the name uncultured bacterium. RNAcentral's name for it is "partial 16S ribosomal RNA". It matches the Rfam family "Bacterial small subunit ribosomal RNA", at positions 28 to 507 of the family's 1533-position model. The record is from RNAcentral.